UGAAGCCUAAAACACACAGCUAGCAGCUGCAACAAUUCUCUCUCUCGGCUGUCCAGAAAAAAAAUGCAGACCGCUAGUUCUCUCUUCCUCUCUCCCUUGCUCUGGCUUGCGGCUGGAUGAAGGAACUCUGGUCUCAAGCUCUGCACCAGCUCACAGAUGGAAGACAGACCGAAUCACAAGUCCCUCUCUUCCCUCUCUGGUUUACGGACAGAAAAGAAAAGAAACAGGAAGCUCGGCUCACUCUCUCUCCCGUCGUUAAUUCCUAUGUAGCUGCUCUCUCUCUUGCUC
Molecule: long non-coding RNA, 288 nt
Filed under: Coffea arabica (coffee)
Lineage: Eukaryota; Viridiplantae; Streptophyta; Magnoliopsida; Gentianales; Rubiaceae
Description: long non-coding RNA (CARA_LNC004759)
Source: RNAcentral